AGGCCUAAUACAUGCAAGUCGAGGGGUAACAGGAAGUGCCUGCACUUCGCUGACGACCGGCGCACGGGUGAGUAUCGCGUAUACAAUCUGCCUCAUACUAGGGAAUAGCCCGAAGAAAUUUGGAUUAAUGCCCUAUAGUAUCUUUUUAAGGCAUCUUAUUAAGAUUAAAGGUUACGGUAUGAGAUGAGUAUGCGUUCUAUUAGCUAGUAGGUGUGGUAACGGCACACCUAGGCUACGAUAGAUAGGGGCCCUGAGAGGGGGAUCCCCCACACUGGUACUGAGACACGGACCAGACUCCUACGGGAGGCAGCAGUAAGGAAUAUUGGUCAAUGGACGAAAGUCUGAACCAGCCAUGCCGCGUGCAGGAUGACUGCCCUAUGGGUUGUAAACUGCUUUUAUAUAGGAAGAAAAACUUUCUCGUGAGAAAGCUUGACGGUACUAUAAGAAUAAGGAUCGGCUAACUCCGUGCCAGCAGCCGCGGUAAUACGGAGGAUCCAAGCGUUAUCCGGAAUCAUUGGGUUUAAAGGGUCCGUAGGUGGACAAAUAAGUCAGAGGUGAAAUCCUGCAGCUCAACUGUAGAACUGCCUUUGAUACUGUUUGUCUUGAGUUAUUAUGAAGUGGUUAGAAUGUGUAGUGUAGCGGUGAAAUGCAUAGAUAUUACACAGAAUACCGAUUUGC
This 678-nucleotide ribosomal RNA is filed under the name uncultured bacterium. RNAcentral describes it as "bacterial SSU rRNA". It matches the Rfam family "Bacterial small subunit ribosomal RNA", at positions 44 to 716 of the family's 1533-position model. The record is from RNAcentral.